CAGUAGCCGCGGGAAUACGUAGGAGGCAGGCGUUGUCCGGAAUUAUUGGGCGUAAAGGGCUCGCAGGCGGUUUCUUAAGUCCGAUGUGAAAGCCCCCGGCUCAACCGGGGAGGGUCAUUGGAAACUGGGGAACUUGAGUGCAGAAGAGGAGAGUGGAAUUCCACGUGUAGCGGUGAAAUGCGUAGAGAUGUGGAGGAACACCAGUGGCGAAGGCGACUCUCUGGUCUGUAACUGACGCUGAGGAGCGAAAGCGUGGGGAGCGAACAGGAUUAGAUACCCCAGUAGUCCCUGUCUCUUAUAC
RNAcentral lists this ribosomal RNA (301 nucleotides) under uncultured bacterium. RNAcentral's name for it is "partial 16S ribosomal RNA". It matches the Rfam family "Bacterial small subunit ribosomal RNA", at positions 509 to 807 of the family's 1533-position model. The record is from RNAcentral.